GAUUGCUGGUGACACGAAAGCUGUGCUCAACGCUCUUUUUCCUAUUCCACUGCACGUCGUGGUCUUUCCCUUGCUGGUUGGAUGACUACUAUGGACGAAGAGCACAACUACUUCCAGUCUCUGGUCGAUAAGUACCCAAGGAAGCAUAAAUGAAACUGUGUUUCAAGAACAAGGUGCUGCUACAUCAUUCAAGGAAAUUCGUCGUAGAGGUCUUUCUCUUUACCAGAUUUCGUAGCUGAAGUUUAUGAAGUAAUCAAACCGGUGUUAACUUCUUAUAUAAAGGUAGAUUCCCAAACUUUGAAGAAACACUACAGUACUGAGGUAAUUGAAUGUUGUAAGGCAGAGCAUCGGGCUUACUAGAGCCAAGGUAUCUUCUUCGAUAACAAGGAAUAAAGGAAAAUGAAAUAUAACCAAACUUGGGAUCUUUGCAAGCAAGCUUCCA
Long non-coding RNA from Cucumis sativus (cucumber), 442 nucleotides. RefSeq lists it as uncharacterized. NCBI's taxonomy places the organism in Eukaryota, Viridiplantae, Streptophyta, Magnoliopsida, Cucurbitales, Cucurbitaceae. The record is from RefSeq and is a predicted model, not a curated record. The transcript is spliced from 5 exons.